GGUGGCUCAGUGGUAGAGCACUUGCCUUGCAUGCUUGCCGCCCUGGGUUCAAUUCCUAGCACCA
RNAcentral lists this transfer RNA (64 nucleotides) under Dipodomys ordii (Ord's kangaroo rat). It matches the Rfam family "tRNA". From Rfam's summary of the family: Transfer RNA (tRNA) molecules are approximately 80 nucleotides in length. Their secondary structure includes four short double-helical elements and three loops (D, anti-codon, and T loops). The record is from Rfam by way of RNAcentral. Lineage: Eukaryota; Metazoa; Chordata; Mammalia; Rodentia; Heteromyidae.